Podarcis lilfordi (Lilford's wall lizard) is the source of this 210-nucleotide non-coding RNA. The record is from the annotation of a GenBank genome assembly. NCBI's taxonomy places the organism in Eukaryota, Metazoa, Chordata, Lepidosauria, Squamata, Lacertidae.
UGCAAAAGCGAUUCCUGACAAUGCAUUUUUUAAAAGUGUAUGUCUGUAUAGAGAAAGUAGCAGCAAUAAUAUUUUUAAAAGCCAACCAAGCAUUUGUAGCAGGUGUGUGUGUGUGUGUGUGUGUGUGUGUGUGUGUGUGUUAGAGAGAAAAUAGAUGCACUAGAAGGUGAAGAGACCCAUUUCCCCAAGACAGCCUGUCAUCAAUUGCAG